AUACGGAGGGUGCAAGCGUUACUCGGAAUCACUGGGCGUAAAGCGCGCGCAGGCGGCUAUUUAAGUUGGAUGUGAAAGCCUACGGCUCCACUGUAGAACUGCAUCCAAAACUAUUUAGCUAGAGUGUGGGAGAGGAAGAUGGAAUUAGUUGUGUAGGGGUAAAAUCCGUAGAGAUAACUAGGAAUACCAAAAGCGAAGGCAAUCUUCUGGAACACUACUGACGCUGAGGCGCGAAAGCGUGGGGAGCAAACAGGAUUAGAAACCCUAGUAGUCC
Molecule: ribosomal RNA, 274 nt
Filed under: uncultured bacterium
Lineage: Bacteria
Description: partial 16S ribosomal RNA
Rfam family: Bacterial small subunit ribosomal RNA
Source: RNAcentral